UACGGAGAGUGCAAGCGUUGUUCGGAAUUACUGGGCGUAAAGCGCACGUAGGCGGUCUUGUAAGUCUGGUGUGAAAGCCCGGGGCUCAACCCUGGAAGUGCAUUGGAUACUGCAGGACUCGAGUACUGGAGGGGGAGGCGGAAUUCCGAGUGUAGAGGUGAAAUUCGUAGAUAUUCGGAGGAACACCAGUGGCGAAGGCGGCCUCCUGGACAGAUACUGACGCUGAGGUGCGAAAGCGUGGGGAGCAAACAGG
RNAcentral lists this ribosomal RNA (253 nucleotides) under uncultured bacterium. Its description in RNAcentral is "partial 16S ribosomal RNA". It matches the Rfam family "Bacterial small subunit ribosomal RNA", at positions 524 to 776 of the family's 1533-position model. The record is from RNAcentral.